Molecule: ribosomal RNA, 557 nt
Filed under: Rhizopus arrhizus
Lineage: Eukaryota; Fungi; Mucoromycota; Mucoromycetes; Mucorales; Rhizopodaceae
Description: eukaryotic LSU rRNA
Rfam family: 5.8S ribosomal RNA (bases 151-304)
Source: RNAcentral
UGAUUGCUUCUACACUGUGAAAAUUUGGCUGAGAGACUCAGACUGGUCAUGGGUAGACCUAUCUGGGGUUUGAUCGAUGCCACUCCUGGUUUCAGGAGUACCCUUCAUAAUAAACCUAGAAAUUCAGUAUUAUAAAGUUUAAUAAAAAACAACUUUUAACAAUGGAUCUCUUGGUUCUCGCAUCGAUGAAGAACGUAGCAAAGUGCGAUAACUAGUGUGAAUUGCAUAUUCAGUGAAUCAUCGAGUCUUUGAACGCAGCUUGCACUCUAUGGUUUUUCUAUAGAGUACGCCUGCUUCAGUAUCAUCACAAACCCACACAUAACAUUUGUUUAUGUGGUGAUGGGUCGCAUCGCUGUUUUAUUACAGUGAGCACCUAAAAUGUGUGUGAUUUUCUGUCUGGCUUGCUAGGCAGGAAUAUUACGCUGGUCUCAGGAUCUUUUUUUUUGGUUCGCCCAGGAAGUAAAGUACAAGAGUAUAAUCCAGUAACUUUCAAACUAUGAUCUGAAGUCAGGUGGGAUUACCCGCUGAACUUAAGCAUAUCAAUAAGCGGAGGAAUA